GCCUGCAUCGUUUUUGCAUAUUUGGUGAAUAGUUAGAUUUGGAAAAUUGAUACCUGUCUUGUCCGAGUUACAGGACGAACCCAAGACACAUACAGAAGUAUACACUCAGUAACAUGUUUGAUUCUGUUGAAAGUAUGAUUCAGUAAAGCAAUUUAGAGCAAAAUUUACAAUUUAUCAGUAACUCUUUGUUUAAGGGAAAAAGUUUAGUAUUUAUAAGACCGGGCACGAGCACCAAGCAUGAUAAAAUCCUUGUGUGCAGUCAGGAUCUAUGCCUACUUUGCCCAGGGAGGCGACAGCACGGCACGGGUCAUAUGGUUCACUGGAAUUUUUUACCAUUUCCCCAAAAUUUCUUGGAUCAUGACUGGAUAGGCGAAGAAGAGCUCAAGAUAGGGGGUGGUGGGUGUGUAAGCUGGUACCUGGCCACCGGUGAGGUAGCGGAGGAGGAUGCAGGCGAGGGAGGAGGCCAGCAGCUGCGCCGCCACGUAGAGCACGGCCCUGAACGCCGAGAUGUGGCCGCGCGCUAGCAGCGCCAGCGUCACCGCCGGGUUCAGGUGGCCGCCCGACACGUGGAACCCCGCCGUCACCAGCACCCCCGCCGCCAGCGCCUGCGCCAGCGCGACCCCG
This 624-nucleotide long non-coding RNA is filed under the name Brachypodium distachyon (stiff brome). RNAcentral describes it as "long non-coding RNA (BDIS_LNC002229)". Lineage: Eukaryota; Viridiplantae; Streptophyta; Magnoliopsida; Poales; Poaceae. The record is from RNAcentral.